UCCGUCGUAGUCUAGGUGGUUAGGAUACUCAGCUCUCACCCGAGAGACCUGGGUUCAAGUCCCCGCGACGGAA
RNAcentral lists this transfer RNA (73 nucleotides) under Triticum urartu. It matches the Rfam family "tRNA". From Rfam's summary of the family: Transfer RNA (tRNA) molecules are approximately 80 nucleotides in length. The record is from Rfam by way of RNAcentral. Lineage: Eukaryota; Viridiplantae; Streptophyta; Magnoliopsida; Poales; Poaceae.